GUACUUUGCAAAGACAAAUAUGUCAAUACUUACUAUCAACAGACUGAUUGAAAUAUAAACCCCUGGGAAGGAAGAUUGCAAUGGAAAUCAAAGGAAUGUCAGAAAGAAAACGCAGCAGCAUGGCUUAGUUUAUGGAGCAUUGGCCUGAGAGACAGAAGAACUUGGGUUCUAAUCCCAGCUCCACUACUCAUCUACUGGGUGACCUGGGGUAAGUCACUUAACUUCACUGUGCCUGUCACCUCAUCUGUAAAAAUGAGGAUACUGUGAGCCUUAUGUAGGGGACAGACUGUGUCCAACCUGAUUAGUGUAUUUACCCUAGUGCUUUGUAGAGCCCGGGCACAGAGUUAGCACUUAACAGAUACUAUAGAACAAACAAAAAAGAAUAGCAAAUAAGUCUUUUUAUUACCAGACUCUAAAGUAUGACAAUGAAUGCAGAAUAAUUUCCAUAUAACACCAGGUGUUCCCUUGCUGUUGAUUAUUUCAAAUAUAAAAACACUUUGUGGAUAAUGAAACUCACUUUCUUAGUCUUCUGACCAUCAACAACAGGCAAUUUUAUGCCUCGGGCUGAUCCCAGCAGCCACUACUACUGUGAUGACAGCAGGGGGGCAUAGAGGGGAGUCUUUCUUCCCAUCUGAUCCACCUACUUCCCGCUGGACUCCCUGCAGAGGCAAAACCUGGAAAGCUGGCAAGAAGCAACAGGACUGGAGCAGGAGAAGAUUAACCCUCGCAUGGUUCCCAUUACAAAAGGCCUUUUUUAUGCUGUCACUGGAAGCUUCGACUUGUUCUGGUGGUAGUGGAGGCUGGUGUUUCCGCCUCGUGGCCCCAGCUUGUUCCGGGUUUAGAUUCUCAACUCUCCAGACCGACGUGCUGAGAUGUGUCCACUGCUCUCGUUCAAUUGCUGGAGGACUCCUCUAUCCACAACAUCAGAGAUACAGGACCUAAUG
RNAcentral lists this long non-coding RNA (944 nucleotides) under Ornithorhynchus anatinus (platypus). RNAcentral describes it as "lncRNA (ENSOANG00000046645.1)". The record is from RNAcentral. Lineage: Eukaryota; Metazoa; Chordata; Mammalia; Monotremata; Ornithorhynchidae.